UGUACAUAAAUAUUGGCAAGUUCCCUUAAUAGGCCCAUGAAAGUAAGCUUGUCCAAGAUUGCAGGUUUCCAGCGUGCGAUAUAGAAGCAUGGAGGCAAAGGGAUUCUUCAGAAGCACAAGAGGUUUGUGGCAAGGUGAUCCUUUAUCUCCAUUUUAUUUCACAUUGGUGAUGGAGAUAUUGAGUUAAAUAGUCUGCAGAGCUAGAGAUAGAGGCUUCAUCAGAGG
This 225-nucleotide unclassified non-coding RNA is filed under the name Hevea brasiliensis (rubber tree). The record is from RNAcentral. Lineage: Eukaryota; Viridiplantae; Streptophyta; Magnoliopsida; Malpighiales; Euphorbiaceae.